Molecule: small nucleolar RNA, 105 nt
Filed under: Gossypium hirsutum (cotton)
Lineage: Eukaryota; Viridiplantae; Streptophyta; Magnoliopsida; Malvales; Malvaceae
Description: Plant small nucleolar RNA R71
Rfam family: Plant small nucleolar RNA R71
About the family: R71 is a member of the C/D box family of snoRNAs containing the C (UGAUGA) and D (CUGA) box motifs. Multiple nearly identical copies of this snoRNA have been identified in Arabidopsis, and it is thought to function as a 2'-O-ribose methylation guide for 18S ribosomal RNA.
Source: Rfam by way of RNAcentral
AAUUCGUGGUGUGGGCAUUUUUGAAUCAAUGUCUUAAAAUGCUCCCAAGCUUCGCGAAAACUUUCCCCCUCUAAUUGUUUGAAAUCAAAAUUUCCCUUCUUAGUU